GGAGCUACAAAGCCAAGGCAAGACAGCAAGCAGUCUCUUGGAAAAAUUUUUCAUUGGCUUGGUCCUUAUUGUUAGGAUCCAGCCCAAGGAAUAAUUUGGUUUUCUAGAGUAAAACAUGAUCAAAUCUCAUAAUAUAUGUGCAUCUUUUUUUUUGGCUGCAGAGACCUUCCUGUUCCAGGACGGGAGUUAUCAGGUGUCCAUUUUGCC
This 207-nucleotide unclassified non-coding RNA is filed under the name Hevea brasiliensis (rubber tree). The record is from RNAcentral. Lineage: Eukaryota; Viridiplantae; Streptophyta; Magnoliopsida; Malpighiales; Euphorbiaceae.